This is a non-coding RNA of Cyanistes caeruleus (blue tit), 719 nucleotides long. The record is from RefSeq and is a predicted model, not a curated record. NCBI's taxonomy places the organism in Eukaryota, Metazoa, Chordata, Aves, Passeriformes, Paridae.
GGGCAAAAUGAAUGAUGAAACAAAGCCUUGCUGGAAGCAGCAACUUUGAGAUAAGAAGUCAAGUGAGAAAAUUAGCUCCUGAUCCAGUUCUCAGCAUUCUCUUUUUAGAUAGCAAAAAAUACCAGGGGAACACCACAAAUUAUCUGCACAAGUUUGGUCCCUGUCCUAGCACUGCUCUAUGGCUUCAAGUAAGUCACUCCAUUUUUGCCUCAAUUUUCUGAUACAGUAAAUACACCUUAUAGUAUUUCCCUAUCCUGCCAGAGUGUACAUGAGGGUAACUAUGUGUUUGGCAAACUCUUCCAAGUAUUAAAACAGAUGCAAAAAGGAAAAUAACUAAGAAGUUCUCCAGAGAGAUGACUAAAAUUGAAAAUGUUCAAGAAGUUGUAGUAUGCCUCUGAUAUUGUAAUGCAAAUCUUGCCUUUCCUCAGGAAAUAAAGGUGGAAGAAUAACUUGAGUCCUCAGACGUGGAAAUAUCCCCAUCCAUAACACCAAUGACAUCUGUCCAUCUUCUGCACAUCAAGCUGGGUUUUGAUAAAAGAUCUGCUGCUUGAGGACACAUGGCUAUGGUAAGCACAUUGCUGACAAAAGUUUAAAAAUGCAACACUGUGAAAAGAUGCUCCAAGCAGGGGCAAGUCUACUGCUACUAGGGAAUUCUACUACUCUCCAGAAAGUCUACUUUGAUGUUUGUGAGGCAGGCGAGGAGAUUCCACCUGCUCAGA